CGCCUCCUGCAAACAUCUAAGUAUAGGAGGUCCAGCCUGCCCAGUGACUAUGGGUUCAACGGCCGCGGUAUUUUGACCGUGCAAAGGUAGCGCAAUCACUUGUCUUUUAAAUGAAGACCCGUAUGAAUGGCUAAACGAGGGCUUAACUGUCUCCCCUUUCCAGUCAGUGAAAUUGAUCUAUCCGUGCAGAAGCGGGUAUAAAUCUACAAGACGAGAAGACCCUUUGGAGCUUAAGGUACAGACCCAAUCGCGUUAAACAACUUAUUAAAGAGCAUAAACUUAGCGCAUCAUGGAAUCUUACCUUCGGUUGGGGCGACCACGGAGGAAAAAACAGCCUCCGAGUGGACCGGGAAUAAAUCCUAAAGUUAAGAGCAACACCUCUAAACCACAGAACAUCUGACCAAACAUGAUCCGGACAUAAGUCCGAUCAACGAACCAAGUUACCCUAGGGAUAACAGCGCAAUCCUCUCCCAGAGUCCAUAU
RNAcentral lists this ribosomal RNA (483 nucleotides) under Catostomus commersonii (white sucker). RNAcentral's name for it is "partial large subunit ribosomal RNA". It matches the Rfam family "Bacterial large subunit ribosomal RNA", at positions 1816 to 2505 of the family's 2925-position model. The record is from RNAcentral. Lineage: Eukaryota; Metazoa; Chordata; Actinopteri; Cypriniformes; Catostomidae.